ACUUUCUGUUCAUGUCAAAUAUUCUUCACUGCUGCAUUAUGUCUUUAGAAGUGCUAAAGAUUUAUGCUGGGCUAUUUAGAGAGAUUUAUUAUAUGCAGCUGUUGUAAAUAGUUUUAAUAAUUUUUCUGUGUAUAAUGAAAUGAAAAGUCUUUUGUAACUGAUGUUUGGUGUGUGUAGAUAGUGGGAUCCCGGGAUUGCUAGUGUGCUAUUUUCUGUUUGCUAAAUUAUACGUGUACCCUGUAAUGUCUGUUUCGAGUCCUAAAUAAGUAUCGGCAUUUGUGCUGAGUACUGCUGCUGUGUCUCUGGAGGAAACCCAUUAGCCACAAGUCAGUAACUCCUCGGUACAGAUAAAGUGCAAGAAGUUGAACGAGGGAUCACAGAUCAGUGAAGCUAACAGAAAAAAGCUUGAUUUGUACAUAUUUUCAUUGUCAACUGAUGACUACAGAAAAUAAAACGAAUUUUGCUUUGAAACUGCAAGUCUUGAAGCCACUGACAGGACUUCUUUUGGUGUCAUACAGAUGACUGUUGUACGAGAAGUGUGAUUGUUGCAUGAUAUACAGCAAGAAUGUGUCUAUAAGAAAAAUCUCACCUGUCUAAACCAUGAGUGCCAUAACGUGAGCCUUUGCAGAAAAGGUGCAAUCAUCAAAAUACCUUGGAGUUUACAUCCUUUUGCACACUUUUAUGAAAACACCUUGGAAAACUGGCUAACAGUUUCUCAAGACAGCUUGAUCUUUGCUGUCUGCAGGAAUGCUGGGCUCAGAUGCUGGGAAAACUGUAAGGACUAGACUCUAAUACCAGCUAUGUGGCAUAGGCCACAAAACCCUUCAUGAAAGUAAAGAUGGCAGGCCCCACUGGAUACGCCAUCUUUUUCACUUUCCUCCUGAUUAUCUGCACCAGUGGCCCAGGUUCAUUCCCAAAUUUGGAUCACCAGCACAGUGAAUGGAUACCUAUUCUGUGUGCCACAAGAAGACCUGUACCCCAGUCUGCAUGUAUCAAAUUAAUGGCUGCUACUGUUGGAAGGAGCAGACCCCAACUGUUUUCAUGCUGUUUUAUAAACAAUGGUUUCAAGAUUUCAGUCCUUGAUUGGGAACCAGGCUUAAUUGUAGAUGUGAACCCUGUUCUUUCUGUGCUUAUGGAACUGAAGCAUUCAUUUUCAUAUUUCACAGAGUUAAACUUUAACUGAGUGGUUGUGCCUCAUUUUCCUUUGCUCCUCUUUUAUGAUUGUCAUCCACUGAAGCUUAAGCUAUAGAAAUUGUCACCUGAAAGAAGUUACUGCUUCAUUUUAGUGAAAGAGCUGAAUGUAACUCAUUACCCUGUUUACCUAAACCAUUCUUGUACAUUCAUUUUUCUCUUUGGUUGUGGCUUUCAUUUGUUAGUUUGUAAAUGAUGGUGCCAGGACUUCAGAUCGCUAAAUUUACGCGUUAAUAUUAUGUCGUAUCAUCUUUAGUUGCAGUUUGCUAUGGUAACAUGACUUGAUUUCAGCUGUACAAAUUAGUGUUGGACUUUUACUUGAUUAUCUUUUCAUAAGUUAUUCUAGUUAUUUAUAUUUUGUUAUUAAUUUUGCAUUAAUAUUUUCUGUGUGCUUGAUCUCAGCAAUAUUAUUUGUUUGGUAGGUUUAUCACUAU
Protopterus annectens (West African lungfish) is the source of this 1625-nucleotide long non-coding RNA. RefSeq lists it as uncharacterized. NCBI's taxonomy places the organism in Eukaryota, Metazoa, Chordata, Ceratodontiformes, Protopteridae. The transcript is spliced from 3 exons. The record is from RefSeq and is a predicted model, not a curated record.